Equus caballus (horse) is the source of this 930-nucleotide non-coding RNA. Lineage: Eukaryota; Metazoa; Chordata; Mammalia; Perissodactyla; Equidae. The record is from RefSeq and is a predicted model, not a curated record.
CUUUGACAUGCUGAAUACACAGCUAUCAUAGAAAGGAAUAAUGUAGAGAUUUUCUCUUAUUAUGAAAUCAUGUUUGUGGCUUGAUACUCUUCUCUCACCCAACUAAGCAUAAUGUAUGACCUAAAGUGGUUCCAGCUUAUGUCACUGUCCUCUAGGUCUAGCCACGUGUAUCCUAUGGAAACAGCAAAGCAAAGCAAACAUUUUCUUCCAAAAAGCUCUGUCUUCUGAUCCUCAUUCCAAGAUUACCAAGUGUGAGUUCCAAGCUGUAUAUCUCCUUUUCUUCCCCAGAAAUCACAUCAUUCAUCUGAUCCGGGCUAUAUCUCUCCCAGCAAGAUAUGUAUGAAGAACGGAAAAGAAAUGAUUAGAAACAUUAAAAUAGAAAAGAAAAAUUGGAUGAUUUUGAGAAAGGAAUCAGAAGAUUUGUACAACCCACAGGGAGGGAGUUAUUCCUUCUCCCAACUUCCUGCUGUUGGAGUGGAGGCAUGUGACCUUGGCUGGCUGAUUAAACGCUCCAGCCUGGGUUUUGAAUAUGGAAGAACGUGCUGAGGUUGUGAGCUGAAAAGCAAAUGUGAAGACUCUGUGCUUUGCCAAACUGCAGCAUCAGUUAAGUAUACAAUGUUUACAAAUCUCUUGGAGCAUUGAUUGAGAAAGAAUGGGCUUCUUGGGACUGGAAUGGUUAUUUCACGUUGUAGCAUUUGGAAGAACUGGAGCUCUCCAAUCUCCAUAGCCUGCUGAGACUGAAACAAGCUAGUUUUCUUUGUCUAAAGGUACUGUUCCAGCUUGGCUUAAAGACACCAUGUUUCCCUUGCCUGUUUUGCAAAAGAACCUCCAUUUUCCCCAUUCCCUUCCCUCUCACCUCUUGUUUUGUCCAGACCCGUAGGUAGAGUCAGAUUGCAGGAUGCCUAUGGGUCUGAAGAAGUCUCACACACA